UUCCGGUUGAUCCCGCCGGAGAUCACCGCUAUCAGAUUCCGACUUAACCAUGCGAGGCGAGAGGUGCAAGACCUCGCCAUACUGCUGAGUAACACGUAGUUAACCUGCCCUUAGGUGGGGAAUAAUCUCGCGAAAGUGAGGCUAAUGCCCCAUAGGCUUUGGAUACUGGAAUGUUCCAAAGCCCAAAGCUCAGGCGCCUAAGGAUGGGACUGCGGCUUAUCAGGCUGUUGUGAGGGUAAAAUCCUCACAAACCUAUAACGAGUAGGGGCCAUGAGAGUGGGAGCCUCCAGAUGCCUUCUGAGACAUGAAGGCAGGGCCUACGGGUCGCAGCAGGUGCGAAAACUUUCCAAUGCGUUCACGCGUGAGAAGGGGAGUCUGAGUGGUUGCGCUUUGCGCAACCUUUUCUUCAGUCUAGAAAGCUGGAGGAAUAAGUAGUGGGCAAGACGGGUGCCAGCCGCCGCGGUAAUACCCGCGCUACGAGUGGUGAUCACGAUUAUUGGGCCUAAAGCGUCCGUAGCCGGCCUUGCAAGUCCUUGGUGAAAUCCUGCAGCUAACUGCAGGGCGUGCUGAGAAUACUGCAAGGAUUGGGACUGGGAAAGGUGUGGGGUAUUCCACGGGUAGGGGUUAAAUCCUUUAAUCCGUGGAGGACCACCUGUGGCGACAUCCUUUAGGAUGAAGCUGUACCGAGUUCCUUAAGGGUGCCAUUAAAGGCGCCACACCGGAACGGGUCCGACGGUGAGGGACGAAAGCUGGGGGAGCGACCCGGAUUAGAUACCCGGUUAGUCCCAGCUGUAAACGAUGCCCGUUUGGUGUUGCAAGUUCUACGCGAACAUGCAGUGCCGGAGCGUAGGUGUUAAACGGGCCGCCUGGGGAGUACAUCCGCAAGGAUGAAACUUAAGGGAAUUGGCGGGGGAGCACACAAGGGGUGGAGGCUGCGGUUCAAUUGGAUUUGACGCCGGACAUCUUACGGGAACUGACAGCAGGAUGAAGGUCAGUCUGAAGGGCUUACCUGACGCACUGAAAGGAGUUGCAUGGCCAUCGUCAGCUCGUACCUUGAGGCGUGCCGUUAAGUCGGUUAACGAGCGAGACCCACGCCACCAGUUGCAACCACGUUCUCAGGAAUGUGGGCACUCUGGUGGGACCGCUGUUGUUAAAACAGAGGAAGGUGUGGGCAACGAUAGGUCCGUAUGGCCCUAAUGCUCCCGGCUACACGCGGCCUACAAUGACCAGGACAAUGGGAUGCGACGCCGAAAGGCGAAGCCAAUCUCCUAAACCUGGCCUUAGUUCAGAUCGAGGGCUGUAACUCGCCCUCGUGAAGCUGGAAUCCCUAGUAAGCGAACGUCACUAUCGUUUGCUGAAUACGUCCCUGCUCCUUGCACACACCGC
RNAcentral lists this ribosomal RNA (1386 nucleotides) under uncultured euryarchaeote. Its description in RNAcentral is "bacterial SSU rRNA". It matches the Rfam family "Archaeal small subunit ribosomal RNA". Lineage: Archaea; Methanobacteriati; Methanobacteriota. The record is from RNAcentral.